This is a long non-coding RNA of Rhodamnia argentea, 635 nucleotides long. RefSeq lists it as uncharacterized. NCBI's taxonomy places the organism in Eukaryota, Viridiplantae, Streptophyta, Magnoliopsida, Myrtales, Myrtaceae. The record is from RefSeq and is a predicted model, not a curated record. The transcript is spliced from 2 exons.
AAAUAUUAGCAAGACAAUUAAUGAUGAUAACUAUAGUCGUCAACAAUAAUCAUGGCACCAAUUUAUUCCGAACCGAGAAACGAAGCAGAUUGACCUAUUUACAAACAAUGGGUCAAGUCAAAAUAAUCAUGAAAUCUCUCUCGUUUCAGAAGAUAGAACAAUCAGAACAUGGUGGAUCAUCUACAAGUAGAUCCAAUGAAGCUGGAAAGCAAUACAUCAAUAAUUGACUAUGUGAUGAAACAAUAACGUUCAUUCAUGUUACAGAAUUUUUCAUUAUUUACGUUCCUUCAACAUGAUUUUUCUGUAGAAGCUGAUUUGACAUCAGCAUUUGUCAUCUCGAGGCUUUUUCGAGACUAAUGGAUUUAAGUUUUUAGUAUCUAAGUGGAUAAAAGUAUAUGCAUCUUUUCGAACAUUCACUUCUAUUGUGACUCCUAGAGAUUAUUCUUGUCCUAAUAUGGAACCUCUUUCCUGUCUGCUUGUCCUUCUUAGUUCUUUCUUGAGUUUUAAUUUAUUGAAGAAAAUAGAAAAGAACAAUUGAUUCAUUCAAGUAUGGCGAUCAAAGAGAAUCUUUACAAAUGGAUAUUAUGAAAUAUGCAGCUUAACCUAUGAGCUUGACAAGUGGAGCCAAGCAAAAU